UACGGAGGGGACUAGCGUUGUUCGGAAUUACUGGGCGUAAAGCGCACGUAGGCGGAUUUGUAAGUCAGGGGUGAAAUCCCGGGGCUCAACCUCGGAACUGCCUUUGAUACUGCAAAUCUCGAGUCCGGAAGAGGUGAGUGGAAUUCCUAGUGUAGAGGUGAAAUUCGUAGAUAUUAGAAAGAACACCAGUGGCGAAGGCGGCUCACUGGUCCGGUACUGACGCUGAGGUGCGAAAGCGUGGGGAGCAAACAGG
This 253-nucleotide ribosomal RNA is filed under the name uncultured bacterium. Its description in RNAcentral is "partial 16S ribosomal RNA". It matches the Rfam family "Bacterial small subunit ribosomal RNA", at positions 524 to 776 of the family's 1533-position model. The record is from RNAcentral.